Molecule: non-coding RNA, 30 nt
Filed under: Rattus norvegicus (Norway rat)
Lineage: Eukaryota; Metazoa; Chordata; Mammalia; Rodentia; Muridae
Source: RNAcentral
UACAUCCACAGGAAUUCUUAGUGGCAGGAA